AACACGGCAGCACGACCCUGGGAGUUAACUCCGCCAGGGCGUGAAAAUGCGGAAAAUGCGUGAAGGGGAGGAAGAGGGGUGAGCGGAAGCUGGGAGCGUAGGUUUGUGGGAAUGGGCGGCAAAAUUUAACAAACUAUGAGUGUUAUGAAUUGAGCUUUUUUAAAGUUCCUCUGGAAAGAAGAUGAAGUGAUAUCUUUAGGAUCAUCCCAGGAGGCUGAGAAAGCCUUGGUUUCUGCAGUGGCCAUCAGAGAUCAUGAGCUACUUCAGAUUGCAACAGCAGCAUCCCAUCGUUUUGAAAAGAAGAAAAAAAAUCUAGAACUAUAACUGCAAUCAUUUGAAUGAAACCGAUGCCUUUGAGUGUUCAGAGAAGUGAUUAACCAGCUCCUUGUUAUUCUGCUGUCAAGGUAUGUCAUGUGGCUGAGAUUCAAUUAGUGAUCCAAUUAUAUUCCAGGAUGUUUUCACACAUAACAUUACUAAGCUUCAAUAUCUGGGUGCUUGAUUUCCCCCCACCCUAAAAUGUACAAGUUUUUAUUUUCAUGAAAUAUCCAUUUCCCUCAUCUCCUAAAACCAUUCUGCAUAUCGUUUUGUUGUCUGUGUUGUUACUGUUUCCUCAAAUUCCAUCUAUACUGGCAAACUUGGUAAGCAUUUCUUCCAUCUACUACUUAGAUCAUUAAUAAAAAUGCAAAGAAUACUAUUCCCAGGAGAGAAUCCUGUGGCAUCUUCCUUCUAUCCAAAUGAGGGACAACAGCUGAGCUAAGGGACAUACACCAUCCUAAAGUGGCUAAUAGAUAACAUUAAGUCACUGAUUGCAGCUCUGGCAUAAUAGUUGGUAAAGUGUGUGACAGAUUACUCCAUAGAAAAAAUCCAUGGCAAAAUAGUUGAUAAAGGGGAAGGCACACAAGACAAUGACUUGAAGACAAAGUAGGUAAGACUCUGGACUCCACCCAAAGACAUUGGAUACGAGAUGGAGAGCAAAUUAAUUUUAUAAAUAAAAGAAGUUGCUGGAAUAUGUGUGUUCCAUAGUUAGAUAAAGGGGAAGAAAUGCACUGGAACUCCCAGGAAAUAGCAGUGUAAUUUGUGCCUACUACUUUAUAUCUCUUUGAAUGAUUGGCAAAUUAGUUUGGG
Molecule: long non-coding RNA, 1125 nt
Organism: Pseudonaja textilis
Lineage: Eukaryota; Metazoa; Chordata; Lepidosauria; Squamata; Elapidae
Source: RefSeq, a predicted model, not a curated record